Molecule: transfer RNA, 75 nt
Filed under: Gemmatimonadota bacterium
Lineage: Bacteria; Pseudomonadati; Gemmatimonadota
Description: Gemmatimonadetes bacterium tRNA-Glu
Rfam family: tRNA
About the family: Transfer RNA (tRNA) molecules are approximately 80 nucleotides in length. Their secondary structure includes four short double-helical elements and three loops (D, anti-codon, and T loops). Further hydrogen bonds mediate the characteristic L-shaped molecular structure. tRNAs have two regions of fundamental functional importance: the anti-codon, which is responsible for specific mRNA codon recognition, and the 3' end, to which the tRNAs corresponding amino acid is attached (by aminoacyl-tRNA synthetases). tRNAs cope with the degeneracy of the genetic code in two manners: having more than one tRNA (with a specific anti-codon) for a particular amino acid; and 'wobble' base-pairing, i.e. permitting non-standard base-pairing at the 3rd anti-codon position.
Source: RNAcentral
GUCCCCGUCGUCUAGUGGUUAGGACACCGGCCUUUCACGCCGGCAGCGCGGGUUCGAUUCCCGCCGGGGAUGCCA